Cricetulus griseus (Chinese hamster) is the source of this 2347-nucleotide non-coding RNA. The record is from RefSeq and is a predicted model, not a curated record. Lineage: Eukaryota; Metazoa; Chordata; Mammalia; Rodentia; Cricetidae.
GUGUGUAUGUUUCCCAUAGUCACUGUUUUGCUGAUGGUAUUCCUAUAAAGGUUACCUAGGUGCUCUGUAGAGUGGAUUUGGUGUAUUUUAAUAUAUUCAUCUUGCUAUAUUUCAUUUAAUGUGUAUAUGUGUUACAAGAUGAAGCACAUUUUAAUACUGCAUUUUAAUUUUAGGUUUUAAUUUAAUUUUAUGCUUGUGAAUGUUUUGGCUGCAUGUGUAUGUAUGUAUUACAUUUGUGUCUGGUGUCUAUAGAGGGCGUAAGGUGUCAGGUAUUCUGGAACUGGAGUUACAGAUGGUUGUGAGCCACCAUAUGGGAGCUGGGAAUCUUAACUCAGCCUCUUCCUCUGGAAGAGCAGCCAGUGCUUUUACCUACUGAGCCAUUUCUUCUGGUGUCAAGGUUAAAUUGGGGGCGGGGGUAUGGGGUAGUUUUGAGACAGUUGCUCAAUGUAGCUUUGUAGACCAGACUGGCCUCAAACUCACAGAGAGCCGCCUAUCUAUGCCUUCGGAGUGCUGGGAUUAAAGGCCUACACCAUCACUGCCUGGCUUCAAGAUGAAUUUUUUAAAGACUUAUUUUUAUUUUUGUGUGUGUAUAUGCGUGCUCGUGCGUGUGCCUGGUCUGCGCCAUUAUGUAUGUAUGCAUGUGUUUGGGAGGAGGUACCUUUGGAAGCCAGAGAUACCAUAUUCCCUGGAGCUGGAGUUAAAAGCAGUUAUGAGCUGUUAGAUGUUGGUGCUGGGAACCAAACUCAGGUUUUUGGCAAGAACAAUAUGUACUUUUAACCAUUGAGCCAUCUCUCUCCAGCCUAGAUAUAGCUCAGGCUGACCUCUAACUCACUGUGCAUCUGAGGUGAUCCUUGAACUCCUGAUCCCAAAUGCUGCAAUUACAAGCAUGCCUCACCACAUUUGGCUUAGCAGGAUGUUUUAACAGAUUAUCCAUAUCCAGUUCAUAGCACAUCGCUUUUUCAGCUUGUUUUAUUGAAGUAGCAGGACCCUGGCAGGAUAAUUUGGUAUGGGUAGCACAUACUGUAUGUAAAGUCCAGCCUUGGGCAGCCAUACCAUCCAAAGAGUAAAGCAUGGUGAUUGCUUCAUCUUUGCUCAAGUUUAUCCGCCCUUUUCAUUGCCACUAGCAACUCUUCUGUCACCCCCCUGCUUGUGGUUAUGUUACUUUCAAAUUCCAUUUUUCUGUUCCAGUAUGCAUGGGAUGUGCAUAUGUGUGCACACAUUGACAUUUGCACAUGAACAUGCAAACCCAACGUUUGGGCGUCAUCAUCCUUCAGUUACUUUUUUACUUCUGAGGCAGGGUCUUAGUCAAGCCCAGAGCACUCCAAUCUGGCUUGUCUUGCUAGCCAGCUUGUGCUGGGGAUCCCAUAUCUCAAAGAUGGAAUUACAGGCAGAUUGCCACAUCCACCUGGCAUUUAUGUGGAUUUCUGGGCGUCUGAACUCACACUCAGUAUGCACAAGCACUUGAGCUACUGAGUUACCUAUCUCCUUCUGUCAGUACUUUUUAAUCUGCAAAUGAGAUCAUGACAUCUUGUCCCAGUAGGUAUUAAAUGACAUCUUUGGGCUGUUGCUUAAUUAGGCACUGUAGCUGGCUACCGGCCUUUCAAUAAAGUGCAGUCUAGUAGAGAGAAAGAAAGCAAUCACUAAUUAAUAGAGAACUUAAAACUAAAAGAAGUGUUCUGAAGGGAUGAAAUCACGGCUGCAAUAGGACAAAGAAACCUGAUCUAAAUAGAGACUAAGGAAAUGUCUUUUGAAAUGAUAUUUGAGAUGGAGGGGUGUAGCUCUGUGGUGGAGCAUUCGCCUAGCAUGAAUAAGUCCCUGGUUCAAUUCCAAGUUUAAGAUAAGAGCUAAAAAGUACAUAUUAGAUGAAGCAGAUUGAGAAAGAAAAAAAAAAUCAGAGGCCCGUCAUGUAGGCUUGGUGGCAGGAGGAAGCAUAGCUUACGCCAGGAACUGAAAGAAAACAGCUGGGCUAGAGGGCAGCACGCUUAGAAUUGCUGAGAUGAGAUGAGAUGGGGGCUGGUAUUGUAGCAGAACCAGACCAUGAAGCCACACGAGCAGUGUGUGUGUGUGUCCGUGUGUCCAUGUGUCCGUGCCCGUACCUGUGGAAGCAGAGGUGCCAUCUACUUUUCUCUCUGAGAUAGGAGAGUAGUUAUUUUGAUGGACUUGGAAGUUGUGAAAUCAGCUGAAGAGGUUGGAAUAAAGAUUGGGAAUCCAGUGCCCUAUAAUGAAGGUAAAAUCUUCCUUAUAGGUUGUAGUCCUCAAUUGGAUACUGCUUUAUGGAUCCAGAAUGUAACUGUGUGACUUAUUAGUCUUAAUAAUAAAAUAGUGAUUUGGGGGAUUAGAAACCAGA